This 305-nucleotide unclassified non-coding RNA is filed under the name plant metagenome. RNAcentral describes it as "partial contains 5.8S ribosomal RNA, internal transcribed spacer 2, and large subunit ribosomal RNA". The stretch from base 1 to 105 matches the Rfam family "5.8S ribosomal RNA", at positions 50 to 154 of the family's 154-position model. The record is from RNAcentral.
GAAAUGCGAUAAGUAAUGUGAAUUGCAGAAUUCAGUGAAUCAUCGAAUCUUUGAACGCACAUUGCGCCCGCCAGUAUUCUGGCGGGCAUGCCUGUUCGAGCGUCAUUUCAACCAUCAAGCCCCCGGCUUGUGUUGGGGACCUGCGGCUGCCCGCAGGCCCUGAAAAACAGUGGCGGGCUCGCUGUCACACCGAGCGUAGUAGCAUACAUUCUCGCUCAGGGCGUGCUGCGGGUUCCGGCCGUUAAACGACCUUCAUAACCCAAGGUUGACCUCGGAUCAGGUAGGAAGACCCGCUGAGUUUAAGC